UUGGACGGCCAUAGGGGCUUGGUUCACCCGAUCCCAUCCCGAACUCGGAUUAGGUUAAGGAGUUGGCCUACGAGAGAGUUAAGCAAGCCUCCGUUUCCAGUCGUACUGUGCUCAGCACGGGAGCCUGGAAAAGCUGUCCACC
Molecule: ribosomal RNA, 142 nt
Filed under: Candidatus Woesearchaeota archaeon
Lineage: Archaea; Nanobdellati; Candidatus Woesearchaeota
Source: RNAcentral